RNAcentral lists this ribosomal RNA (253 nucleotides) under uncultured bacterium. Its description in RNAcentral is "partial 16S ribosomal RNA". It matches the Rfam family "Bacterial small subunit ribosomal RNA", at positions 524 to 776 of the family's 1533-position model. The record is from RNAcentral.
UACGUAGGGUGCAAGCGUUGUCCGGAAUUAUUGGGCGUAAAGAGCUCGUAGGCGGUUUGUCGCGUCGAAUGUGAAAACCCGGGGCUCAACCCCGGGCCUGCAGUGGAUACGGGCAGACUAGAGGUAGGUAGGGGAGAAUGGAAUUCCCGGUGUAGCGGUGAAAUGCGCAGAUAUCGGGAGGAACACCGGUGGCGAAGGCGGUUCUCUGGGCCUUACCUGACGCUGAGGAGCGAAAGCGUGGGGAGCGAACAGG